Molecule: long non-coding RNA, 275 nt
Organism: Maniola jurtina (meadow brown)
Lineage: Eukaryota; Metazoa; Arthropoda; Insecta; Lepidoptera; Nymphalidae
Exons: 2
Source: RefSeq, a predicted model, not a curated record
UCGUCUGUGUUGGCGUUUGCUGACGCACGUGCGGUGCUUUCUCGGAGUGUUUUUUUUUGUUAAAAGUAGCCGGUUUUUGUGUUUUACUAGUGUUUUUUGGUGGUGGAACUAACUGCUAGAAACUAACCCUAUAAAUUAACAUAUUCUGAAAAAACCUGCCACUUAUAAAAUUACCCGAAAGUCUCAGCUAUCACCAACCGUUCUCGUGUCUCUUCAAUCCCACACGAUAUUGGCGAAGUAAAUCGCGCCCACCUGGUGCAGCUCCACGCCAUAAA